Oryctolagus cuniculus (rabbit) is the source of this 1280-nucleotide long non-coding RNA. The record is from Ensembl. Lineage: Eukaryota; Metazoa; Chordata; Mammalia; Lagomorpha; Leporidae.
GGCAUAGUAAAGAUUUUUAUGGUAUGUUUUGCAAAUAUUGCAUGUAUACUUGAAGAGAAAAUGUAUUCUGUAAUUUUUGUGUACAUGGUUCUGUAUAUAUUAAUUUUGAUCAAGCUUUUAAAUUGUGUUAUUCAGGUCUAUAUCUUAGACUUAGUUAUUUACUGUUGGUUUGACCUACUGCUAUUUGAGAGACAAACUUAAAACUUUCUCACUGUACUUUGAUCGUUUUUACUCAUGACACUAAGUAUUUUUUCUGCUUAAUAUAUUUUAAGGACUCUUAAUUAAAUGCAUACAUGUUAAAACUUUGUAUCUUCAUGUUAUGCUGAAACUUUUAUCAUUAUAUAAUGGUUCUCUGUAUAUUUUUGCCUUAAAUUCCUUUUGGUUCAAAAUUAAUAUAAAUACCAAAGCUAUAUACAUAAGCCUAUCAUUUUGCUUCUAAACAUCUCAUUUUAUUACAUUUUUUGAAUGUUCUCUCCCCCCCCCAACAAAACUGAUAAUCUUUGUUUUAUAUAACAUUAUAUAACAUUAAGAUUGAAUGUCAUUUCUGUUCUGGGACUUCUUUACUUUAAAACAUUUAUUUGUAAAAAAUGGGAGAGAGAGGGAGAGAGAGAGAGAAAGAAAGAGAGAGAGAGAGAGAGAGAAAUCUUCCCUAGUUGUUCUUUCCCAAAAUGGCCAAUACAGCUUGUGCCAAAGCCAGGAUCCAGGAACUCCAUCUAGAUCUCCUGAAUGGGUGGCAGGGACUUGUGCUGUCAUCCACUGACUCCCAGGUGUGUUAGCAGAGAGCUGAAUGGAAAGUGGAAUGAGGAGCUAGGGCUGCACUCUGACAUAGAAUGUAGGCAUCCCAAGUGGUAGCUUAAUGUGAUGCACUAUAACUCCCACCCUACUUCUUUUAACAUUGAUGACUUAUUUAAUGUAUUUGAAAGGCAGACACACACACAAACAGAAGAGAGAGAAGAGAGAAGAGAGAAGAGAGAAGAGAGAAGAGAGAAGAGAGAAGAGAGAAGAGAGAAGAGAGAAGAGAGAGAUCUUGGCCAGGUCAAAGUUAAUAGCUGGGAACUCAAUCCAGAUCUCCAAACUGGCUGGCAGGAACUCAGGUUCCAAAAUCUUUGAAGGAAUCAAAGGAGAUCACAGAGAUGCAGCAUAAGCUUAAUUAGGUAAAUUGACUAUGAUAAUAUUGUUAAUUAUUUCUAUAGACAUUUGCCAAAGGUUAACUUUCAAACUUAAAUAAGAUAUAUUGUCAGUUGCUUCCAAAUUAAAAUGCUGACUCUAGUAAGAGAAAC